Molecule: ribosomal RNA, 490 nt
Filed under: uncultured bacterium
Lineage: Bacteria
Description: partial 16S ribosomal RNA
Rfam family: Bacterial small subunit ribosomal RNA
Source: RNAcentral
AGUGAACGCUGGCGGUAGGCCUAACACAUGCAAGUCGAACGGCAGCACAGGAGAGCUUGCUCUCUGGGUGGCGAGUGGCGGACGGGUGAGGAAUACAUCGGAAUCUGCCCAGUCGUGGGGGAUAACGUAGGGAAACUUACGCUAAUACCGCAUACGACCUUCGGGUGAAAGAGGGGGAGCGCAAGACCUCUCGCGAUUGGAUGAGCCGAUGUCGGAUUAGCUAGUUGGCGGGGUAAUGGCCCACCAAGGCGACGAUCCGUAGCUGGUCUGAGAGGAUGAUCAGCCACACUGGAACUGAGACACGGUCCAGACUCCUACGGGAGGCAGCAGUGGGGAAUAUUGGACAAAGGGCGCAAGCCUGAUCCAGCCAUACCGCGUGGGUGAAGAAGGCCUUCGGGUUGUAAAGCCCUUUUGUUGGGAAAGAAAUCUUUCAGGCUAAUACCCUGGGAGGAUGACGGUACCCAAAGAAUAAGCACCGGCUAACUUCGUG